RNAcentral lists this ribosomal RNA (227 nucleotides) under uncultured bacterium. RNAcentral describes it as "partial 16S ribosomal RNA". It matches the Rfam family "Bacterial small subunit ribosomal RNA", at positions 383 to 607 of the family's 1533-position model. The record is from RNAcentral.
CUGAACCAGCCAAGUAGCGUGAAGGAUGACUGCCCUAUGGGUUGUAAACUUCUUUUAUAAAGGAACAAAGUCGGGUAUGGAUACCCGUUUGCAUGUACUUUAUGAAUAAGGAUCGGCUAACUCCGUGCCAGCAGCCGCGGUAAUACGGAGGAUCCGAGCGUUAUCCGGAUUUAUUGGGUUUAAAGGGAGCGUAGAUGGAUGUUUAAGUCAGUUGUGAAAGUUUGCGG